CGUGAUCAUCACGAUCUUCAGGUUUUGUAAAUUAAUGUGUGAAUGAGAUGAAUGCGAAAUCUAUUAUUUUUCUUUACUUUCUUGCAGUUGAUUACUCGAAGUCAUCUGGGCGUGAUCCUCACGAUUGCUUUCGUCGAACAGGAUCGACGGCCGAGACGCACACCACCGACCAGACAAUCCCUUAGCGGGGCGUGAUCAUCACGAUCUUCAGGUUUUGUAAAUUAAUGUGUGAAUGAGAUGAAUGCGAAAUCUAUUAUUUUUCUUUACUUUCUUGCAGUUGAUUACUCGAAGUCAUCUGGGCGUGAUCCUCACGAUUGCUUUCGUCGAACAGGAUCGACGGCCGAGACGCACACCACCGACCAGAUAAUCCCUUAGCGGGACGUGAUCCUCACGAUCGCUUUCGUCGAUUAAGAAUGGCGGCACACAGAAGAACAAGACGCACACCGCCAACCAAACGUCAUCUUCAGUUGAUUACUCGAAGUCAUCUGGGCGUGAUCCCCACGAUCGCUUUCGUCGAACAGGAUCGACGGCCGAGACGCACACCACCGACCAGACAAUCCCUUAGCGGGGCGUGAUCCUCACGAUCGCUUUCGUCGAACAGGAUCGACGGCCGAGACGCACACCACCGACCAGACAAUCCCUUAGCGGGGCGUGAUCAUCACGAUCUUCAGUUGAUUACUCGAAGUCAUCUGGGCGUGAUCCCCACGAUCGCUUUCGUCGAACAGGAUCGACGGCCGAGACGCACACCACCGACCAGACAAUCCCUUAGCGGGGCGUGAUCCUCACGAUCGCUUUCGUCGAACAGGAUCGACGGCCGAGACGCACACCACCGACCAGACAAUCCCUUAGCGGGGCGUGAUCAUCACGAUCUUCAGUUGAUUACUCGAAGUCAUCUGGGCGUGAUCCCCACGAUCGCUUUCGUCGAACAGGAUCGACGGCCGAGACGCACACCACCGACCAGACAAUCCCUUAGCGGGGCGUGAUCCUCACGAUCGCUUUCGUCGAACAGGAUCGACGGCCGAGACGCACACCACCGACCAGACAAUCCCUUAGCGGGGCGUGAUCAUCACGAUCGCUUUCGUCGAACAGGAUCGACGGCCGAGACGCACACCACCGACUAAACAAUCCCUUAGCGGCAAUCCCAGGAUCGGCGGCCGAGACGCACACCACCGACCACCCUUAGCUGGGCGUGAUCCUCACGAUCGCUUUCGUCGAUCGAGAGCAGUGGCUGACAUUAAUUUCCGAAGGCUUACGCGUUUGGAAACCAUUACGACCAUGGUUGGCAGCUUCGGUGCUUAACGCGACAAACCAUUUUUUUAAUUAUUUCAGUAUUUUAGUUUAGGCUCGUUAGGUUUUUCUCUAACCUCCGCAUAUCUUAGCUUAAGAUUGACUGUUUCUUAACAUUUGCAUUUAAGUGAUUUUUGUAAUAAACAAAGAAUUUUGGUGAAGAUUGUAUGGUGCGUUUUAUUUUAUUUCUCUUAGCUUUUUUUUAUCACACAUCAUACAACCAACUCAAGCAUUUCCUCGAUUUUCUUCUUGGAGUUUUCGCACUUCUCUUACUCAUGCUCGAACUGCCCGGAACCGUUCGAACUCUCAAAGCCGUUGCUAGACUAGAGACGGAUACUGUUCCGGCGUACGGAAAAGAAUGAAUAAUAGCGACGAGGAGCACAGAUUGCGGAUCACUUUUCAAUUCAAGCCGCCUCGCCCUUGCAGCAUCGUUUUGGUAAAUGUUAAAGUUUAACUACUCAUAAAUAUCCUGCCGGUGAGUUCCCGUUGACCAGCCCCAGCAGCUCCAGCCUUAAACAUUCUCGAUCUGGGUGUCAUUCAGCUGCUGCAGCAGAUUAAAUCAAUGAUUUUCGCCCCGUAAUUAGCAGGAACCGAUCGCACGUUGUACCGCUGUGCGCGCGUCCGCAACUACCAUCACCGUGUGGCAAACGC
Long non-coding RNA from Culex pipiens pallens (northern house mosquito), 1938 nucleotides. RefSeq lists it as uncharacterized. NCBI's taxonomy places the organism in Eukaryota, Metazoa, Arthropoda, Insecta, Diptera, Culicidae. The transcript has 4 exons. The record is from RefSeq and is a predicted model, not a curated record.